UGGGUUGUUAGCAGAGGCAGGUGGAGAGGCCAGGCGCCUAGAGGCGCACACAGGAUCUCCUCGGAGCAUAUCUGAGAAAGAACGAACUGAGAAAGGAUGCCUGCCUGCGUGCAAAGGACUGUCAUAAAAAGAGGGAGCCGGACAGAGUCCCGACACUGGAAUGGGGAGAGGCAUGGGAGACUGGAUGGAGACUUUUAUUUAAGCCAGUGUGAUCAUCUUGAAUUGAUUUUAAGUAGGAGAGACUGAAGGUCACUCCUGCUGCUAACCAGGCCUAGACAUCUCCGAAUCGUUCCCCCGGCUGAGAGGGGAGAAAGAGAGUAAACGGCUCCCAGCAGGGCGCUGAUUUCAUUUAAAGCCCGACGUUUCCGAUCUGAAGUCAGAAUUCUUUCACCCCCAACUACGUUGAUCACAAGCUCUAACAAGAACCAUACAAGCAACCCAAGAAUACACAGCAAGUGUCAUCAUUCAGCCAGUGUUGCCAACUUCACACACAGUGAGAACAGCUCAAGGCUACUGAGAUGUUGACAUUUCUCAUUGGAAUAGGAAACGUGAGGAACAUCCACCAUUACAAGCAGCUCACGGGACUGGAGAGUGGUGCCCAGUCUCUUAGAAGGAGGACACCCUGACUGAACAGCUCCCGCUGCAGGAGAUGAAACUCCUGUUCAAACAGACUUACUGGACAGAGACAUCGCUAGCUUCUAUGAGGAGUGUAAGGUGAGUUUCAGGGCUACCUGAACCACGGGCUCCGGACCUCCAGAGCCCCUUCCCCUUGCCUUCUUAGCACUACAUGGCUCCAGCUUCAACAGUAAAAGGAGAAGAGUGGAUAAGGGCAGUGUGGUUGUCAGAGCAUUGGUUCCAUCUUAACACACCUACAAUGUUAGUAUUAUUU
Molecule: long non-coding RNA, 889 nt
Organism: Mus musculus (house mouse)
Lineage: Eukaryota; Metazoa; Chordata; Mammalia; Rodentia; Muridae
Product: predicted gene, 52029
Exons: 3
Source: RefSeq, a predicted model, not a curated record